This 495-nucleotide ribosomal RNA is filed under the name uncultured bacterium. RNAcentral's name for it is "partial 16S ribosomal RNA". It matches the Rfam family "Bacterial small subunit ribosomal RNA", at positions 28 to 507 of the family's 1533-position model. The record is from RNAcentral.
GAUGAACGCUGGCGGCGUGCCUAAUACAUGCAAGUAGAACGCUGAAGGAGGAGCUUGCUCUUCUGGAUGAGUUGCGAACGGGUGAGUAACGCGUAGGUAACCUGCCUGGUAGCGGGGGAUAACUAUUGGAAACGAUAGCUAAUACCGCAUGACAACAGUUAUUACAUGAUAACUGUUUAAAAGGGGCAACUGCUCCACUACCAGAUGGACCUGCGUUGUAUUAGCUAGUUGGUGAGGUAACGGCUCACCAAGGCGACGAUACAUAGCCGACCUGAGAGGGUGAUCGGCCACACUGGGACUGAGACACGGCCCAGACUCCUACGGGAGGCAGCAGUAGGGAAUCUUCGGCAAUAGACGGAAGUCUGACCGAGCAACGCCGCGUGAGUGAAGAAGGUUUUCGGAUCGUAAAGCUCUGUUGUAAGAGAAGAACGAGUGUGAGAGUGGAAAGUUCACACUGUGACGGUAUCUUACCAGAAAGGGACGGCUAACUACGUG